UCAGUUGCAAUGAAACAAGAAACAUUUGUGAAGGCAAAUAAAUUAAAUGUAUAAAAUUAGCCACACAACUACACAAACUCUAAUUCAUAUAUUCUUUCAUAUUUUCAAAAAUUCAAAAUCCUAUUUAACUACCUUCUGUACAAGACUCUUUAAUGUCUACAAGUCUAACUAAACAAUCACUAUUUUCUAAUAAUUUAAUAUCACAAACAAAUUCAACCUAAACUCUACUACCAUAUAUAUCAUAAGUAGUUAUGUAUUUCUAGUAUAUAAUAAACAAAUAAAUAACUAAAAGAAACCAUAUAUUAUAUAUGUGACUAUACUAUCUGAACAAUGGAUUUUGCCACCAAAAAACCUGUUGAGAAAUCAAACUAUCUCUUGUUGUGUAAAGGGUUGGAUCCUGUAGGCACUUUUCGUUUUGCUGAUUUGAAUUCUCUACCGUUGCUUCUUACCGGAGAAUUAACAAAUGGAAUAUGAAAAUUUUGGUGAUGAUUUGAAGUAGAAGGACUUGAGAAUUUGAUCCUAAUAGCAUGAACUCUUGGUGUGAGGAAAAGAAGAGAAAGGAGGAGAAAGAAAUGGAAGUGCUUCAUGUUUCAAAGUAUAAUAAUAAGAAGAAAAAUAAAAACAAAUGGAUGGAAAUGUGAAAUUUGGUGCAAAGUAGUGUUAUUAUAUGUUGUGUAUUUAUAUGGACAUGGUUAGGUAUCAACAUGUGCAUACUAAAUGUGGUGAUAUAUAUGAAACACUUGUCAAAGUCUUUGUGUGAAUUUGGAGUGGUGGGUCUUAUGGUCUCAUUGGCGUUUGAUUUUGAUCAAAUGGUCAAAAUGAUAGUUGGAUGUCAAUGGUGUGAGUAGGGACUAGUAUGGGAUCAAUGGUGGUGGGGUGGCAAUAUUAAA
This 890-nucleotide long non-coding RNA is filed under the name Cicer arietinum (chickpea). Its description in RNAcentral is "long non-coding RNA (CARI_LNC000586)". The record is from RNAcentral. Lineage: Eukaryota; Viridiplantae; Streptophyta; Magnoliopsida; Fabales; Fabaceae.